This 254-nucleotide ribosomal RNA is filed under the name uncultured bacterium. RNAcentral describes it as "partial 16S ribosomal RNA". It matches the Rfam family "Bacterial small subunit ribosomal RNA", at positions 524 to 776 of the family's 1533-position model. The record is from RNAcentral.
CACGUAGGGGGCGAGCGUUGUCCGGAUUUAUUGGGCGUAAAGAGCUCGUAGGCGGCUCAGUAAGUCAGGUGUGAAAACUCCAGGCUCAACCUGGAGACGCCACCUGAUACUGCUGUGGCUAGAGUCCGGUAGGGGAGCAUGGAAUUCCUGGUGCAGCGGUGAAAUGCGCAGAUAUCAGGAGGAACACCAGUGGCGAAGGCGGUGCUCUGGGCCGGAACUGACGCUGAGGAGCGAAAGCGUGGGGAGCGAACAGG